Molecule: ribosomal RNA, 569 nt
Filed under: uncultured bacterium
Lineage: Bacteria
Description: partial 16S ribosomal RNA
Rfam family: Bacterial small subunit ribosomal RNA
Source: RNAcentral
UGGGGAAUUUUGGACAAUGGGCGAAAGCCUGAUCCAGCAAUGCCGCGUGUGUGAAGAAGGCCUUCGGGUUGUAAAGCACUUUUGUCCGGAAAGAAAUCCUUGGCUCUAAUACAGUCGGGGGAUGACGGUACCGGAAGAAUAAGCACCGGCUAACUACGUGCCAGCAGCCGCGGUAAUACGUAGGGUGCAAGCGUUAAUCGGAAUUACUGGGCGUAAAGCGUGCGCAGGCGGUUUGCUAAGACCGAUGUGAAAUCCCCGGGCUCAACCUGGGAACUGCAUUGGUGACUGGCAGGCUAGAGUAUGGCAGAGGGGGGUAGAAUUCCACGUGUAGCAGUGAAAUGCGUAGAGAUGUGGAGGAAUACCGAUGGCGAAGGCAGCCCCCUGGGCCAAUACUGACGCUCAUGCACGAAAGCGUGGGGAGCAAACAGGAUUAGAUACCCUGGUAGUCCACGCCCUAAACGAUGUCAACUAGUUGUGGGGAUUCAUUUCCUAGUAACGUAGCUAACGCGUGAAGUUGACCGCCUGGGGAGUACGGUCGCAAGAUUAAAACUCAAAUGAAUUGACGGGGU